Molecule: small RNA, 328 nt
Filed under: Vigna angularis var. angularis
Lineage: Eukaryota; Viridiplantae; Streptophyta; Magnoliopsida; Fabales; Fabaceae
Description: Non-protein coding transcript
Source: RNAcentral
AAGAUGCCCAACAAAGGCCUAGAUGCUGAUGAAGAAACUGGCUUUCUCAAGCGAAAUGCCGGAGACUCAGCAAAUCAAAUUCUUGUAGACCAAUGUGCGUCCACUGUGUCUAUGAAUAGUGAAACAUCUUUAUGGCAUAGAAUGACGGAAACUGUUGGUCAUUUCCUGACAGAACUAAUGUCACCCCCAACAAUUGCUACGUUUUUUGGUUUUCUCUUUGGUGGGGUUGAAUGGCUAAGGAAUCUAAUAAUAGGACGCGAAGCUCCACUACGAGUGAUCCUAGACUCCAUUCAAUUACUAGGGGAUGGUACAAUUCCUUGUAUCACUG